RNAcentral lists this ribosomal RNA (1381 nucleotides) under metagenome. RNAcentral's name for it is "bacterial SSU rRNA". It matches the Rfam family "Bacterial small subunit ribosomal RNA". The record is from RNAcentral.
AGAGUUUGAUCCUGGCUCAGGAUGAACGCUAGCGGCAGGCCUAACACAUGCAAGUCGAGGGGUAACAGAGGAAAGCUUGCUUUCCUGCUGACGACCGGCGAACGGGUGCGUAACACGUAUGCAACCUACCCUUUACAGGGGGAUAGCCCUUAGAAAUGAGGAUUAAUACCCCAUAACAUUAUGAAGUCGCAUGGCUUUAUAAUUAAAACUUCGGCGGUAAAGGAUGGGCAUGCGUCCCAUUAGCUUGUUGGUAAGGUAACGGCUUACCAAGGCAACGAUGGGUAGCGGGUCUGAGAGGAUGAUCCGCCACACUGGUACUGAGACACGGACCAGACUCCUACGGGAGGCAGCAGUGAGGAAUAUUGGUCAAUGGACGAAAGUCUGAACCAGCCAUGCCGCGUGCAGGAUGACGGCCCUAUGGGUUGUAAACUGCUUUUAUAAGGGAAGAAACCCCCGGACGUGUCCGGGGCUGACGGUACCUUACGAAUAAGCACCGGCUAACUCCGUGCCAGCAGCCGCGGUAAUACGGAGGGUGCAAGCGUUAUCCGGAUUUAUUGGGUUUAAAGGGUCCGUAGGCGGGACAUUAAGUCAGUGGUGAAAGCCUACAGCUCAACUGUAGAAUUGCCAUUGAUACUGAUGUUCUUGAAUAUAAUUGAAGUUAGCGGAAUGUGUCAUGUAGCGGUGAAAUGCAUAGAGAUGACACAGAACACCGAUUGCGAAGGCAGCUAACUAAGUUAUCAUUGACGCUGAGGGACGAAAGCGUGGGGAGCGAACAGGAUUAGAUACCCUGGUAGUCCACGCUGUAAACGAUGAUUACUCGAUAUUGGCUUUUAGUCAGUGUCCAAGCGAAAGCGUUAAGUAAUCCACCUGGGGGGUACGUUCGCAAGAAUGAAACUCAAAGGAAUUGACGGGGGCCCGCACAAGCGGUGGAGCAUGUGGUUUAAUUCGAUGAUACGCGAGGAACCUUACCAGGGCUUAAAUGCAGAACGACAGAGGUGGAAACACCUCCUUCUUCGGACGGUCUGCAAGGUGCUGCAUGGUUGUCGUCAGCUCGUGCCGUGAGGUGUCGGGUUAAGUCCCAUAACGAGCGCAACCCCUAUUUCUAGUUGCCAGCGGAUAAUGCCGGGGACUCUAGAGAAACUGCCAGCGUAAGCUGUGAGGAAGGUGGGGACGACGUCAAAUCAUCACGGCCCUUACGUCCUGGGCUAUACACGUGCUACAAUGGUGGAGACAGAGAGCAGCCAACUGGCGACAGUGAGCUAAUCUUUAAACUCCAUCUCUGUUCGGAUCGAAGUCUGCAACUCGACUUCGUGAAGUUGGAAUCGCUAGUAAUCGCGUAUCAGCCAUGACGCGGUGAAUACGUUCCCGGGCCUUGUACAUA